RNAcentral lists this ribosomal RNA (432 nucleotides) under uncultured bacterium. RNAcentral's name for it is "bacterial SSU rRNA". It matches the Rfam family "Bacterial small subunit ribosomal RNA", at positions 335 to 784 of the family's 1533-position model. The record is from RNAcentral.
ACUCCUACGGGAGGCAGCAGUGGGGAAUAUUGGACAAUGGGGGCAACCCUGAUCCAGCCAUGCCGCGUGCGUGAAGAAGGCCUUAGGGUUGUAAAGCGCUUUCACUGGUGAAGAUGAUGACGUUAGCGACAGAAGAAGCACCGGCUAACUCCGUGCCAGCAGCCGCGGUAAUACGGAGGGUGCGAGCGUUAAUCGGAAUUACUGGGCGUAAAGCGCAUGCAGGUGGUUUGUUAAGUCAGAUGUGAAAGCCCGGGGCUCAACCUCGGAAUUGCAUUUGAAACUGGCAGACUAGAGUACUGUAGAGGGGGUAGAAUUUCAGGUGUAGCGGUGAAAUGCGUAGAGAUCUGAAGGAAUACCGGUGGCGAAGGCGGCCCCCUGGACAGAUACUGACACUCAGAUGCGAAAGCGUGGGGGAGCAAACAGGAUUAGAUA